Molecule: non-coding RNA, 233 nt
Organism: Paramuricea clavata
Lineage: Eukaryota; Metazoa; Cnidaria; Anthozoa; Malacalcyonacea; Plexauridae
Source: the annotation of a GenBank genome assembly
UUCCGUAAUAGAGGACCAGUAAGAAACUGCUGCCCUUGCUAAUCAGUUUUCCACUCAUCCUUAUAAAUAAACAAAUUCAAGAAGAAAGGGAAGGAAGUCGGAUAUAUUUCAGAAAUGCAUUGGACUUCCACCUACCGAGAGCACGUAUUUGAGCAUCCGACAUACCCCGAUCUGCAGCAUGAGAAGCAGCCCCUAUCCGAAAACUGUGACCCUUAUAAACAUUAGGGCUUAAA